Molecule: RNA transcript, 963 nt
Organism: Ornithorhynchus anatinus (platypus)
Lineage: Eukaryota; Metazoa; Chordata; Mammalia; Monotremata; Ornithorhynchidae
Gene: ARL16
Gene name: ADP ribosylation factor like GTPase 16
Exons: 6
Source: RefSeq, a predicted model, not a curated record
CGCGACGGCGGCGGCGGCGGAGGGAUCCGGGAUGUGCCUGCUGGUGCUGGGGCCCGCGGGAGGCGGCAAGACGCUGCUGGUGAAGCGACUGCAGAAGCUGACCUCUGGAGAGACAAAGGGAGACCUCGGAGAUCCCCCCCCGACGCAGCCCACGGUGGGCACGAACCUCACCGACCUCGUGGUCCAGAGGAAGAUGGUGGUCAGGGAGCUGGGUGGGCGCAUGGCCCCAAUCUGGCCCAGCUACUACGGAAGCGCACGCGCCGUCAUGUUCGUCAUCGACGCUUCCGACCCCACUCAGCUGUCGUCGUCCUGCGCCCAGCUCCUCAGCGUCCUGUCCGCGGAGCAGCUGGCCACGGCGCCCGUCCUCGUCCUCUUCAACAAGAUCGACCUGCCGUCUUACAUGACCCCGGAGGAGAUGGAGGGCCUGCUCCGCCUCCCGGACAUCAUCGCCACCGCCGGCCGGCCCGUCGCCACCGCCCGCGUCAGCGCCCGGGACGGCACCGGCCUGACCCAGGUCCUCCGCUGGCUGCGGGACGCCCGCCUCGCCCCAUCCCACCGACCCAGCUAGCCUCCCGGCGGGGAGGAAGGCCCGCGGCCCCAGGUGGCGACGACCAGGAGGACGGUCAUUGCGGAUAACCAAUAAUGACGACGUCAUGGCGAUUGGGAUCUUAAUAAUAAUGACCGGAAGCUCGACGUGGCCGGGGAACGUGUCAGCCGACUCUCUCGUAUCUUACUCUCCCAAGUACUUAGCACAGCGCUCUGCACGUGGUGAGCGCUCAAUAGACGCCGCCGAUCGAUCAGUCGCUCCGCACACGGUAAACGCACGGGAAACGCUAUCGAUUAAUCGAUUGAUUUCUCCUCUGAUUGGGCCUCUCCCUUAUGGCGCUUGGGUCUUUCCCCCCGGGAGGCGGAGGUCGUGUCCACUGUAAAUCCGUGGUAUUUACUGAGCGCUUACUCUGUGCA